UCACAAUUUGACAAGCUCAUGCAGGCGCAUUCAGUCCGCGCUUUAUAUUCCUGUUCAAUUCAGUUUUUUUUAACGGACCAGUUGUGCUGCGUUAUGCAUUAUUUAGCAGUUGUUGGAGAUAAACAAGGGGGUACACGUUUCUCCAAGUGCACACGCGUAAAAGCCAGGCAUUAUGGACUGGAGUGCAACAGGGUUGGAGGGCGUUUUUAAGCAGUAUAGAGCGGGAUUCAAGGAUACACGUUAGAAAGUACAGCGGUUGGGUAUCAUACCGCAAGAAACACCGCGAGGGACGUUUGUACCGGUGAUCGGGUUUCUCCUCUGGCCCAUCAGCUGAAUAGGUGGGGCUUGAUCAAUGGCAGGAAACUGAAGGAUCAAAUGUCAUAAAAUGGUGCCAGGCUGCGACAUGAAGGCAGGGGCCAUGAAACCGUACCCUCAGCAUCAGACUGUACAGUAGAGAGACAGAGUCACACUCCCGGUGUAAGCAGGGCAUAAAAACGCUGCUGCAUGAUAAGGAGCUGCACAGGGACUUUGAACAUUUUAUUAGUAUCUAUAAAAGAGGCACAGGACGAAGGACACAGUGUCUAUAAAGCCCUAAUGGAGGAUCAAUUAAGAUGGUCAAGCUGCAGAAAGAGACUUUUACAGUGUAGUGUUUUAACACUAACCUUGUCCUUUAACACUAACGUUAAAACCACAGGGCUGGAAAAUUCAGCCUAGUUUUCAUUCCGCUGCAUCACCGAUAUCUUCUAAUCGCUAAGAGUAAAAAAGUAAAACGUUUGUUUGUUUGUGUAAGAAUUUAAAAGUGAGCGGCAAAGACUUUCAGCCUGCUUAAGUACAGAAUAAAAUGACAUGAUAUACUACUCUCUCUCUAUCCCUCUAUCCCUCUCUCUCUCUCUCUCUCACACACACACACUAAUUGGCUUUUUUUAAUAUACUUUACUUAUUAGAGAAUAUUUUGCUUAAGAAGUACACUUGAACACACACACAUAACAAUUUAAUAGCUAAAAACAUUUUUCCUUUCCAUUUUUGUUAUUCUGAAAUAUCAUAAAAUAUUGAAAAAAUAAUGUAUUAGAAAUAGUGUAUUGCGUUACAAUAAAGCCAUAAUAAAAUAUUUUAAAAAAUUCUAUACAGAUAAUAGACGAUAUUCAUGUUUUGACUGAAAAGAUCAAUAUUGCUUGUAUCACUCAUCUGUUUAUUAAAUAACAUAAGAUCUGUAUUUUAAAACCUGUGUGUGUGUGUUUU
Molecule: long non-coding RNA, 1239 nt
Organism: Puntigrus tetrazona (Sumatra barb)
Lineage: Eukaryota; Metazoa; Chordata; Actinopteri; Cypriniformes; Cyprinidae
Exons: 3
Source: RefSeq, a predicted model, not a curated record